UACAGAGGGUGCAAGCGUUUGUUCGGAAUUAUUGGGCGUAAAGCGCGUGUAGGCGGCUUUGCAAGUCGGGUGUGAAAGCCCUCAGCUCAACUGAGGAAGUGCGCCCGAAACUGCAGAGCUUGAGUGCCGGAGAGGGAUGCGGAAUUCCAGGUGUAGCGGUGAAAUGCGUAGAUAUCUGGAGGAACACCGGUGGCGAAGGCGGCAUCCUGGACCGACACUGACGCUGAGGAGCGAAAGCCAGGGGAGCAAAGCGG
RNAcentral lists this ribosomal RNA (254 nucleotides) under uncultured bacterium. Its description in RNAcentral is "partial 16S ribosomal RNA". It matches the Rfam family "Bacterial small subunit ribosomal RNA", at positions 524 to 776 of the family's 1533-position model. The record is from RNAcentral.